This 483-nucleotide ribosomal RNA is filed under the name uncultured bacterium. Its description in RNAcentral is "partial 16S ribosomal RNA". It matches the Rfam family "Bacterial small subunit ribosomal RNA", at positions 30 to 507 of the family's 1533-position model. The record is from RNAcentral.
UUGAACGCUGGCGGCAGGCCUAACACAUGCAAGUCGAGCGGAUGAAGGGAGCUUGCUCCUGGAUUCAGCGGCGGACGGGUGAGUAAUGCCUAGGAAUCUGCCUGGUAGUGGGGGAUAACGUCCGGAAACGGGCGCUAAUACCGCAUACGUCCUGAGGGAGAAAGUGGGGGAUCUUCGGACCUCACGCUAUCAGAUGAGCCUAGGUCGGAUUAGCUAGUUGGUGGGGUAAAGGCCUACCAAGGCGACGAUCCGUAACUGGUCUGAGAGGAUGAUCAGUCACACUGGAACUGAGACACGGUCCAGACUCCUACGGGAGGCAGCAGUGGGGAAUAUUGGACAAUGGGCGAAAGCCUGAUCCAGCCAUGCCGCGUGUGUGAAGAAGGUCUUCGGACUGUAAAGCACUUUAAGUUGGGAGGAAGGGCAGUAAGUUAAUACCUUGCUGUUUUGACGUUACCGACAGAAUAAGCACCGGCUAACUUCGUG